UACGAAGGGAGCUAGCGUUGUUCGGAAUUACUGGGCGUAAAGGGCGCGUAGGCGGUAAAACAAGUCAGGUGUGAAAGCCCUGGGCUCAACUCAGGAACUGCGCUUGAUACUGUUUUGCUUGAAUUCGGUAGAGGUGAGUGGAAUUCCCAGUGUAGAGGUGAAAUUCGUAGAGAUUGGGAAGAACACCGGUGGCGAAGGCGGCUCACUGGACCGACAUUGACGCUGAGGCGCGAAAGCGUGGGGAGCAAACAGG
This 253-nucleotide ribosomal RNA is filed under the name uncultured bacterium. RNAcentral describes it as "partial 16S ribosomal RNA". It matches the Rfam family "Bacterial small subunit ribosomal RNA", at positions 524 to 776 of the family's 1533-position model. The record is from RNAcentral.